UGUCCGUCCACCCUGACGGUGCUGCCCCCCUCCAGUGAGGAGCUGCUGAAGGGGAAGGCCACGCUCAUGUGCCUGGCCAACAAGGGCUUCCCCUCAGACUGGAGUCUGGCCUGGAAGGUGGACGGCAGCAGCAGCAGCAGCUGGGAGGAGAGCAGGAGCCCCGGGGUGCUGGAGAAGGACGGCAAAUACAGCUGGAGCAGCACCCUGAGGCUCCCUGCAGACCAGUGGGAGAAGGUGGGCUCUGUGACCUGUGAGGCCACCCAGGGCUCCCAGACUCCACUCUCAGAGACACUGAGGAGAGACCAGUGUUCCCAGUCCUGACCU
This is a non-coding RNA of Sander lucioperca (pikeperch), 324 nucleotides long. The record is from the annotation of a RefSeq genome assembly. Lineage: Eukaryota; Metazoa; Chordata; Actinopteri; Perciformes; Percidae.